AGGCAGUAUCACCUUUUUUAUCUCUGUGUGUCUUCCCCGUUUUCCACAUCGUUUUUCCUCCUUGUGCUGUGCCCCAAGAAUUUCACGGACACUUUUUGCUGCAGUCAGCUCACAGCUCCAGGACAGCACUGGUGUGCCGGGAUAGAACUGGCCUAUAAGUCUCAUUUUAUUGUGGAGCCUGGGUGAGAGGUAGUGGUGGGUAAACUAUGAAAGUCCUGAAGAUUUCCUGCAAGUGCAUUAUUACAAUAAUCACCAGUAUAAAGCCAGUGCUCCUGGCAGGCUAGGGCAGCUUCAGGCAGGUCUGAGUGCCAGCAGACAUGCAGCAGAGCUGGGGAUGUCCCUGCGUCCCCACAGGGAAGCCCUUCCCUCCAUCUUCCACCACACAUCAUGUGCCACAGAAGGUCUCGUUCUGAACACACCAUCAAUCUCAGCUUACUGGUACAACAGUCUGACUUUUCUUUUUUUAAUUUUCUUUCUUUUUUUUAGGAUGCGAACCUCUUGUACUACACAAUGUAAGGAAUAAAGAAUGUUACCAGUUAUCAUGAAUCAGUUAAGAGUUCAGCUGUGUUCCAUCACAUCGCAGGAAGCAUGGCACAUGAAACUGUGUUGGCAGAGAAAUAUUUAAACAAGUGUGCCUUGCAUUGUGUGGGUUCCUCAUGACCAGAGCAGAUGGAGCAGUGAGUCACCUCCCUGACCUUAUCAGAGCUGUGACAACAGGAGACCAGAUGAAACCUCUAACCUGGAUCUGCUUUUCAGCCCACAGAAAUACAGCAUGUUGAAUUUUCUCUGGCUUACACAGACUGCACAGCCUGGAAGUACAAUAUUGUCUGAUGAAGGAAAAAGUUAAUUCUCUUUACACAAGUGAGCACGUUUUUCCUGGAGAGUGGGGAGAGCAUCAACUGACAAUCCACAGCCACAAACACCCUCGUGAGGACUGUGCAUAAUUCACAGAAGUGGGUGGAUUUGUGUGUAUUUGCUGCAUGGACUGGGUCUCUGGAAUCUGUGUUGUGCUGUGGAGUGUGUGAAAUUCAUGCAGGACCUGUGGAUCUCAUGCACGACCUGGUUUCCCUGAGGCUCACAGAAAGAUUUCAAUUUUUAUUGAAAGUGACUUCAAGAAAUACCAAACAAUUCCUUCUUCGGUUAUUUUGGGUAUGACACAUCAGGAGGACAGAAAGGCAGAGAGAGCGCAGAUAAAAUACUGAGCCUUGGAUCUGUCUCACAGAGAUGGCCUGGGAUGCAGCAAGGAGGAAGCACGGGACAAACAGCGCGGACUGUCAGAGCCACAAAAACAGGGAGGCAAAACAGCAGCGCCGGCUUCAGGCCGGCUCUGCCUCAGCUGCUCAGCCCAGGCGGUGUCCCUGCAGCAGGGGACAGACGGGGGCUGUCUGUCCUCUUC
Molecule: long non-coding RNA, 1396 nt
Organism: Passer domesticus (house sparrow)
Lineage: Eukaryota; Metazoa; Chordata; Aves; Passeriformes; Passeridae
Exons: 6
Source: RefSeq, a predicted model, not a curated record